RNAcentral lists this transfer RNA (73 nucleotides) under Bos taurus (domestic cattle). It matches the Rfam family "tRNA". From Rfam's summary of the family: Transfer RNA (tRNA) molecules are approximately 80 nucleotides in length. Their secondary structure includes four short double-helical elements and three loops (D, anti-codon, and T loops). The record is from Rfam by way of RNAcentral. Lineage: Eukaryota; Metazoa; Chordata; Mammalia; Artiodactyla; Bovidae. RNAcentral also lists the same sequence under 5 other names.
UCCCUGGAGGUCCAGUGGUUAAGAUUCUGCAUUUCCAAUGCAGGGAAUGAAGGUUCAAUCCCUGAUUGGGGAA